UGGGGAAUUUUGGACAAUGGGCGAAAGCCUGAUCCAGCAAUGCCGCGUGUGUGAAGAAGGCCUUUGGGUUGUAAAGCACUUUUGUCCGGAAAGAAAUCCUUGGCUCUAAUACAGUCGGGGGAUGACGGUACCGGAAGAAUAAGCACCGGCUAACUACGUGCCAGCAGCCGCGGUAAUACGUAGGGUGCAAGCGUUAAUCGGAAUUACUGGGCGUAAAGCGUGCGCAGGCGGUUUGCUAAGACCGAUGUGAAUCCCCGGGCUCAACCUGGGAACUGCAUUGGUGACUGGCAGGCUAGAGUAUGGCAGAGGGGGGUAGAAUUCCACGUGUAGCAGUGAAAUGCGUAGAGAUGUGGAGGAAUACCGAUGGCGAAGGCAGCCCCCCUGGGCCAAUACUGACGCUCAUGCACGAAAGCGUGGGGAGCAAACAGGAUUAGAUACCCUGGUAGUCCACGCCCUAAACGAUGUCAACUAGUUGUUGGGGAUUCAUUUCCUUAGUAACGUAGCUAACGCGUGAAGUUGACCGCCCGGGGAGUACGGUCGCAAGAUUAAACUUAAUG
Molecule: ribosomal RNA, 557 nt
Filed under: uncultured bacterium
Lineage: Bacteria
Description: partial 16S ribosomal RNA
Rfam family: Bacterial small subunit ribosomal RNA
Source: RNAcentral